UGGGCGUAAGCGCGCGCAGGCGGUCUCUUAAGUCUGAUGUGAAAUCCCACGGCUCAACCGGGGAGGUGCAUUGGAAACUGGGGAGCUUGAGUGCUGAAGAGGGGGGCGGAAUUCCACGUGUAGCGGUGAAAUGCGUAGAGAUGUGGAGGAACACCAGUGGCGAAGGCGGCUUUUUGGUCUGUAACUGACGCUGAGGCGCGAAAGCGUGGGGAGCAAACAGGAUUAGAUACCCUGGUAGUCCACGCCGUAAACGAUGACUGCUAGGUGUUUGAGGGUUUCCGCCCUU
RNAcentral lists this ribosomal RNA (286 nucleotides) under Priestia megaterium. RNAcentral's name for it is "Bacillus megaterium partial 16S ribosomal RNA". It matches the Rfam family "Bacterial small subunit ribosomal RNA", at positions 555 to 840 of the family's 1533-position model. Lineage: Bacteria; Bacillati; Bacillota; Bacilli; Caryophanales; Bacillaceae. The record is from RNAcentral.